AGUGAACGCUGGCGGUAGGCCUAACACAUGCAAGUCGAACGGCAGCACAGUAAGAGCUUGCUCUUACGGGUGGCGAGUGGCGGACGGGUGAGGAAUACAUCGGAAUCUACUUUUUCGUGGGGGAUAACGUAGGGAAACUUACGCUAAUACCGCAUACGACCUGCGGGUGAAAGCAGGGGAUCUUCGGACCUUGCGCGAUUGAAUGAGCCGAUGUCGGAUUAGCUAGUUGGCGGGGUAAAGGCCCACCAAGGCGACGAUCCGUAGCUGGUCUGAGAGGAUGAUCAGCCGCACUGGAACUGAGACACGGUCCAGACUCCUACGGGAGGCAGCAGUGGGGAAUAUUGGACAAUGGGCGCAAGCCUGAUCCAGCCAUACCGCGUGGGUGAAGAAGGCCUUCGGGUUGUAAAGCCCUUUUGUUGGGAAAGAAAAGCAGCAGGUUAAUACCCCGCUGUUCUGACGGUACCCAAAGAAUAAGCACCGGCUAACUUCGUG
This 492-nucleotide ribosomal RNA is filed under the name uncultured bacterium. Its description in RNAcentral is "partial 16S ribosomal RNA". It matches the Rfam family "Bacterial small subunit ribosomal RNA", at positions 29 to 507 of the family's 1533-position model. The record is from RNAcentral.